UGGGGCGUAGCCAAGCGGUAAGGCAGCGGGUUUUGAUCCCGUCAUGCGAAGGUUCGAAUCCUUCCGCCCCAGCCA
RNAcentral lists this transfer RNA (75 nucleotides) under Microbulbifer variabilis. RNAcentral's name for it is "tRNA-Gln". It matches the Rfam family "tRNA". Rfam says of the family: Transfer RNA (tRNA) molecules are approximately 80 nucleotides in length. The record is from RNAcentral. Lineage: Bacteria; Pseudomonadati; Pseudomonadota; Gammaproteobacteria; Cellvibrionales; Microbulbiferaceae. RNAcentral also lists the same sequence under 23 other names.